AGUCGUAACAAGGUUUCCGUAGGUGAACCUGCGGAAGGAUCAUUCACAAGAUUAUAAUAUUUUAUUACUUUGUGGAAAAUUUGGUUGAAUUUACAUGUUUUAUUACAAAAAAUUAAUUAUAAUUAAAAAAAUAAUUUUAAGAAAACCUCCAACAACGGAUCUCUUGGUUCCCAGAUCGAUGAAGAGCGCAGCGAAUUGCGAAAUGUGAUGUGUAUUGCAGUGAAUCAUCAAUUCUUGAACGCACAUGGCACCCCUUUUAGGGGUAUGCUUGUAUGAGGGUGUUUAAUAUGAAAUUGCUUUGGCUUUUUUUAAAUAAAUGGUUUUUCAAACAUUGUUACUAAUAAAGAUGAAAGAAUCAGUGCAACAAGCUGUGUUGAAUCUUUCAAUUAAAAUCUUUUUUAGUUAACAUUUUUUAACUAUUUACGCCUCAUAUCAAGCAAGACUACCCGCUGAACUUAAGCAUAUCAAUAAGCGGAGGA
This 479-nucleotide unclassified non-coding RNA is filed under the name Magnusiomyces clavatus. Its description in RNAcentral is "sequence contains 18S rRNA gene, ITS1, 5.8S rRNA gene, ITS2, 28S rRNA gene". The stretch from base 144 to 282 matches the Rfam family "5.8S ribosomal RNA". The record is from RNAcentral. Lineage: Eukaryota; Fungi; Ascomycota; Dipodascomycetes; Dipodascales; Dipodascaceae.